This 468-nucleotide ribosomal RNA is filed under the name uncultured bacterium. RNAcentral describes it as "partial 16S ribosomal RNA". It matches the Rfam family "Bacterial small subunit ribosomal RNA", at positions 28 to 507 of the family's 1533-position model. The record is from RNAcentral.
GACGAACGCUGGCGGCGUGCUUAACACAUGCAAGUCGAACGGAAAGGCCUUGCUUUUGUGGGGUGCUCGAGUGGCGAACGGGUGAGUAACACGUGAGUAACCUGCCCUUGACUUUGGGAUAACUUCAGGAAACUGGGGCUAAUACCGGAUAGGAGCUCCUUCUGCAUGGUGGGGGUUGGAAAGUUUCGGCGGUUGGGGAUGGACUCGCGGCUAAUCAGCUUGUUGGUGGGGUGGUGGCUUACCAAGGCUUUGACGGGUAGCCGGCCUGAGAGGGUGACCGGCCACAUUGGGACUGAGGUACGGCCAAGACUCAUACGGGAGGCAGCAGUGGGGAAUAUUGCACGAUGGGCGGAAGCCUGAUGCAGCAACGCCGCGUGCGGGAUGACGGCCUUCGGGUUGUAAACCGCUUUCGCCUGUGACGAAGCGUGAGUGACGGUAAUGGGUAAAGAAGCACCGGCUAACUACGUG